Molecule: non-coding RNA, 426 nt
Organism: Gasterosteus aculeatus aculeatus (three-spined stickleback)
Lineage: Eukaryota; Metazoa; Chordata; Actinopteri; Perciformes; Gasterosteidae
Source: the annotation of a RefSeq genome assembly
AUGCUGGGGACCCUCUGCACUCUCAUCACUGCUCUCACAUGUGUGAGUGGUGUGACGGUGGUGACACAGAAGCCUGUUGUAGCCGUGACGACAGGAGAGACAGUCUCCAUAGACUGUAACCUCGGGACUGUUACUAACUAUCCUGCUCUCUGGUAUAAACAGAUUCCAGGAGGAGUUCCUCAGUUUGUAAUAAGUUUUCAUCACGACUGGAGCUCUCCAACAUAUGGCACUGGUUUCUCAUCUUCAAAGUUCACAUCCACUCAUCAGUCAACUUCAGACUAUCGUUUGACCAUAAAGAACAUCGAGGAGGGAGACUCAGCCGUCUAUUACUGUAACACAUGGGACGACUCUGUUAAAGAGUGGGUAUCACAGUGAUUUACACUGUGACAAAAACCUCUUCACUGAGUACUUCUGCUUUUUGAGACG